AUUGAACGCUGGCGGCAGGCUUAACACAUGCAAGUCGAGCGGGGUGAUGGUGCUUGCACUAUCACUUAGCGGCGGACGGGUGAGUAAUGCUUAGGAAUCUGCCUAUUAGUGGGGGACAACAUCUCGAAAGGGAUGCUAAUACCGCAUACGUCCUACGGGAGAAAGCAGGGGAUCACUUGUGACCUUGCGCUAACAGAUGAGCCUAAGUCGGAUUAGCUAGUUGGUGGGGUAAAGGCCUACCAAGGCGACGAUCUGUAGCGGGUCUGAGAGGAUGAUCCGCCACACUGGGACUGAGACACGGCCCAGACUCCUACGGGAGGCAGCAGUGGGGAAUAUUGGACAAUGGGGGGAACCCUGGUCCAGCCAUGUCGGGUGUGUGAAGAAGGCCUUAUGGUUGUAAAGCACUUUAAGCGAGGAGGAGGCUCUUUUGGUUAAUACCCAAGAUGAGUGGACGUUACUCGCAGAAUAAGCACCGGCUAACUCUGUGCCAGCCGCCGCGGUAA
This 503-nucleotide ribosomal RNA is filed under the name uncultured bacterium. RNAcentral describes it as "partial 16S ribosomal RNA". It matches the Rfam family "Bacterial small subunit ribosomal RNA", at positions 30 to 523 of the family's 1533-position model. The record is from RNAcentral.